UACGUAGGUGCGAGCGUUAAUCGGAAUUACUGGGCGUAAAGCGUGCGCAGGCGGUUAUAUAAGACAGAUGUGAAAUCCCCGGGCUCAACCUGGGAACUGCAUUAGUGACUGUAUAGCUAGAGUGCGGCAGAGGGGGAGUGGAAUUCCGCGUGUAGCAGUGAAAUGCGUAGAUAUGUGGAGGAACACCAAUGGCGAAGGCAGCCCCCUCGGGAGUAAC
RNAcentral lists this ribosomal RNA (217 nucleotides) under uncultured bacterium. Its description in RNAcentral is "partial 16S ribosomal RNA". It matches the Rfam family "Bacterial small subunit ribosomal RNA", at positions 524 to 740 of the family's 1533-position model. The record is from RNAcentral.